RNAcentral lists this ribosomal RNA (228 nucleotides) under Triticum aestivum (bread wheat). RNAcentral's name for it is "partial small subunit ribosomal RNA". The record is from RNAcentral. Lineage: Eukaryota; Viridiplantae; Streptophyta; Magnoliopsida; Poales; Poaceae.
AUGAUCUGGCAUGUACAAAAUAAAAACUUCAUUCUCGAUUCUAUGAGAAUUUUUAAGAAAGUGUUUCAUUUGCUUCUCUUUAAUGGAAGUUUCAUUUUCCCAGAAUGUAUCCUAAUUUUUGGCCUAAUUCUUCUUCUAACGAUCGAUUCAACCUCUGAUAAAAAAGAUAGACCUUGGUUCCCUCCGUUCCUAAAUAUAAGACUUUUUGGAGAUUCUAAUCCUCUAUAA